CCCUAGUAACGGCGAGUGAAGCGGCAACAGCUCAAAUUUGAAAUCUGGCGCAAGCCCGAGUUGUAAUUUGUAGAGGAUGCUUCUAGGUAGCGACCGGUCUAAGUUCCUUGGAACAGGACGUCAUAGAGGGUGAGAAUCCCGUAUGUGACCGGCCCGCACCUUCUACGUAGCUCCUUCGACGAGUCGAGUUGUUUGGGAAUGCAGCUCUAAAUGGGAGGUAAAUUUCUUCUAAAGCUAAAUACCGGCCAGAGACCGAUAGCGCACAAGUAGAGUGAUCGAAAGAUGAAAAGCACUUUGGAAAGAGAGUUAAAAAGCACGUGAAAUUGUUGAAAGGGAAGCGCUCACAACCAGACUUCUGGGCGGUGUUCCGCCGGUCUUCUGACCGGUCUACUCGCCGUCCCGAGGCCAACAUCAUCUGGGACCGCUGGAUAAGACCUCAGGAAUGUAGCUUCCCUCGGGAAGUGUUAUAGCCUGUGGUGAUGCAGCGCGUCUCGGGUGAGGUCCGCGCUUCGGCAAGGAUGUUGGCGUAAUGGUUGUCAGCGGCCCGUCUUGAAACACGGACCAAGGAGUCUAACAUCUAUGCGAGUGUUCGGGUGUCAAACCCCUACGCGUAAUGAAAGUGAACGGAGGUGGGAAGCGCAAGCUGCACCAUCGACCGAUCCUGAUGUCCUCGGAUGGAUUUGAGUAAGAGCAUAGCUGUUGGGACCCGAAAGAUGGUGAACUAUGCCUGAAUAGGGUGAAGCCAGAGGAAACUCUGGUGGAGGCUCGCAGCGGUUCUGACGUGCAAAUCGAUCGUCAAAUUUGGGUAUAGGGGCGAAAGACUAAUCGAACCAU
This 834-nucleotide ribosomal RNA is filed under the name Ramularia cynarae. RNAcentral describes it as "eukaryotic LSU rRNA". It matches the Rfam family "Eukaryotic large subunit ribosomal RNA", at positions 78 to 943 of the family's 3401-position model. The record is from RNAcentral. Lineage: Eukaryota; Fungi; Ascomycota; Dothideomycetes; Mycosphaerellales; Mycosphaerellaceae.